This is a long non-coding RNA of Musca domestica (house fly), 377 nucleotides long. RefSeq lists it as uncharacterized. The record is from RefSeq and is a predicted model, not a curated record. Lineage: Eukaryota; Metazoa; Arthropoda; Insecta; Diptera; Muscidae. The transcript is spliced from 3 exons.
UUGCCAAUUUGUAUGUUGUUAUCGGUGGUUAACCUUCACCUUGAAAACGAUUUUAAUUUUUCGGAACAAAAAACAUGACAUCUGUGGUGACAUUGCACAAUAGCUACUGGCCUUGUUAUUAUUCUUCUUCCAAAGCAAAUAUUGUUGAUUCGAAUUGCAAAUAUUAUUUAUCAAAAUAUUUGGUGAAAAUAUUAACUUUCGGCAGAUAUGCGUACCAGUUUGAAGAUAUGCCGAUACAUACGAAAAAACUGUAUCAAAUGAAACGAAGCGAUUGCUUGGUCGUUGGCACCUGUUUCGUUGGACAAUCAUGCUGCUCCAAACGUUGUGAUUUGUACACCCAUAAAUGUAUUGUUUAAAUAAAUUUGAAAUAAAUAUUA